GGGAAAGUCCAAAGGUUUAUGCUUGGAGGGGAAAGAGGAAGAGAAUAAAUACCCUUUGAGCACCUACUAUGGGCUGGGCACUGGCGAGUGACUUUCUACCUCGUUCUUUUUGAUCCACCGCUGCUAGAAGGGCAGGACGGACAUAAACAACAGGCGCUGUGCUCGGGAUCUGGGACACGACGGCUCGUCUGAAUGAUGCCUGCGGAUCACACCAUCAAACUCCUAGUGGCUGCAAACUCAACUUUGGACGCCAAAGCCCGGUGUUUCUUGUGAAUCCAAACAACCAAGUUUCUUGAAGCAGCGUGAAAGCACCCUGGUGCCAUCACUGCAAGGCCGCGACACGGGCCUUGAGACCCGUGCUCUAUCACGGGUCCAUCUUUGGAAAAGGGAUGACCCUUUAUUGAGCACCCCCUUUCUGCAGGGAGCUAGACCUUUCCAAAAGAGUUGCUUGGGCCCGGGCCCUCCUACCCUCCUCUUUUGAGCCCGUGUCACUCAGGCUUUUGCCCCCACGGCCCCAGGAGAACUGCUCUGGCUGAGGCCGCCGUGACCCCGGCCAUCCUCACAGCCAGGGGCUGAUUCUCUUCCUUCGUGGGAGUCCCCUUGUCAGCAGCAUUUGAUACCAUCAGGUCGCUCUUUCUUGCAACAGGAGGGACGGCUUGGCUUCCAGAACGCCGUGUCUUCAGCUCUGUCUCCACGCUGCAGGACUCCUUACGGCACCUUCUGGCUUGACCGAAGUUUGGCAAACCAGAACCCGCAAACCAGAUCCAGCUUGCCCAUCCUUCUCUCUCUUUCAAAUAAAUAAAACAUUUUUAAAAGA
Canis lupus familiaris (dog) is the source of this 817-nucleotide long non-coding RNA. RefSeq lists it as uncharacterized. NCBI's taxonomy places the organism in Eukaryota, Metazoa, Chordata, Mammalia, Carnivora, Canidae. The transcript has 2 exons. The record is from RefSeq and is a predicted model, not a curated record.